GCGAGAGUGGCGGAAUCUGGUAGACGCGCAGGACUUAGGAUCCUGUGGCUUCGGCCGUGGGGGUUCGAAUCCCCCCUCUCGCACCA
Molecule: transfer RNA, 86 nt
Filed under: bacterium
Lineage: Bacteria
Also listed under: 2 other names
Description: tRNA-Leu
Rfam family: tRNA
About the family: Transfer RNA (tRNA) molecules are approximately 80 nucleotides in length. Their secondary structure includes four short double-helical elements and three loops (D, anti-codon, and T loops).
Source: RNAcentral